Acipenser ruthenus (sterlet) is the source of this 376-nucleotide long non-coding RNA. RefSeq lists it as uncharacterized. The record is from RefSeq and is a predicted model, not a curated record. Lineage: Eukaryota; Metazoa; Chordata; Actinopteri; Acipenseriformes; Acipenseridae. The transcript has 2 exons.
AAACAGUAGUUUAAAGGGUAGAUUUCCCUUUCUAAUAUCCUGUUCUUUGUUCAAUGUCAUUCUGUAAUGUUGUUUCAGCUCCAUUAUCUAGCGUAAUAACUUGCUUUUGAAAAGGCAUGCCAAGGCUGAAGUGAGUUAUUAUUAAGCCACAUACAGUAAUGACAGAGAACACACAUUAUAUGACACUCAACAGGCAAGAAUGAAAUAUCUGGAAAAUGUAGGUGAUAUCCCUUUAAGGAGAAAAGAAAAGUUUUAAAGGGGAAAACUGCUGACAGCCUAAAAAAAAAAAAAAGGAUGUGAAAAGCAAGUAUAAUCAUUUACUUUAAUUGUAUCACAACUCAAAAAAGGAUUCAACUAUCCAUGCUGAUUUGUGGCA